AAGAGAUCAAAAUUGAAUUUCAUUUCAUCCACCGAAAAUUAGAAUUGAGUUCACAGAGUUAAACAAGUUUAUUUUGCCCAUUGAGGCAUAAUUAUAAAAAGACAAGAAUGAUAAGAUUGAAUCAUAAGCAAUGUUUUUGUUUCUGUUCUAAUAAUGAAAGCUUUCCUUUUUUCACAAUAGAAUACCCAUCACCUAAUAAGCGCACUAUACAUGGUAAUUGAGCUCCUAUCAAAAUUGAUUGCUCUGAGAGAGAGAGAGAGAGAGA
This 265-nucleotide unclassified non-coding RNA is filed under the name Hevea brasiliensis (rubber tree). Lineage: Eukaryota; Viridiplantae; Streptophyta; Magnoliopsida; Malpighiales; Euphorbiaceae. The record is from RNAcentral.